AAUCAACGCUGGCGGCGUGCCUAACACAUGCAAGUCGAACGCGAAAGUGGAGCAAUCCAUGAGUAGAGUGGCAAACGGGUGAGUAACACGUGGGUGACCUGCCUUCGAGUGGGGGAUAACGUCCCGAAAGGGACGCUAAUACCGCAUGACAUGCUGUCUUUGAACAGAUGGACAUCAAAGCCGGGGAUCGCAAGACCUGGCGCUUGAAGAGGGGCCCGCGCCUGAUUAGCUAGUUGGUGGGGUAAUGGCUCACCAAGGCAACGAUCAGUAUCCGGCCUGAGAGGGCGGACGGACACACUGGGACUGAGACACGGCCCAGACUCCUACGGGAGGCAGCAGUGGGGAAUUGUUCGCAAUGGGCGCAAGCCUGACGACGCAACGCCGCGUGGAGGAUGAAGACC
Molecule: ribosomal RNA, 401 nt
Filed under: uncultured bacterium
Lineage: Bacteria
Description: bacterial SSU rRNA
Rfam family: Bacterial small subunit ribosomal RNA
Source: RNAcentral